GAAGGGAUAGCUCAGUUGUAGAGCAUUCGACUGCAGAUCGAGUAGUCCCCGGUUCAAACACGGGAGUCUUCUUCA
This 75-nucleotide transfer RNA is filed under the name Trichonephila inaurata madagascariensis. RNAcentral's name for it is "tRNA-Cys". It matches the Rfam family "tRNA". Rfam says of the family: Transfer RNA (tRNA) molecules are approximately 80 nucleotides in length. Lineage: Eukaryota; Metazoa; Arthropoda; Arachnida; Araneae; Nephilidae. The record is from RNAcentral.